GGGUUCAUGGCCUAAUGGUAAGGCGUCAGAUUUCGGUUCACUGCUACUCUCUGAAGAUUGCAGGUUCGAUCCCUGCUGAGCUCG
Non-coding RNA from Hypoxylon sp. NC1633, 84 nucleotides. The record is from the annotation of a GenBank genome assembly. NCBI's taxonomy places the organism in Eukaryota, Fungi, Ascomycota, Sordariomycetes, Xylariales, Hypoxylaceae.